RNAcentral lists this ribosomal RNA (513 nucleotides) under uncultured bacterium. RNAcentral describes it as "partial 16S ribosomal RNA". It matches the Rfam family "Bacterial small subunit ribosomal RNA", at positions 28 to 523 of the family's 1533-position model. The record is from RNAcentral.
GAUGAACGCUGGCGGCGUGCCUAAUACAUGCAAGUCGAGCGGAUUAAUGGGAGCUUGCUCCCGUUAGUUAGCGGCUGCCGGGUGCUUAACACGUGGGCAACCUACCUAUAAGACUGGGAUAACUUCGGGAAACCGGAUCUAAUACCGGAAUACAUAAAGGAACUCCUGUUCCUUUAUUGAAAGAUGGCUUAGGCUAUCACUUAUAGAUGGGCCCCCGGCGCAUUAGCUAGUUGGUGAGGUAACGGCUCACCAAGGCGACGAUGUGUAGCCGACCUGAGAGGGUGGUCGGCCACACUGGGACUGAGACACGGCCCAGACUCCUACGGGAGGCAGCAGUAGGGAAUCUUCCGCAAUGGACGAAAGUCUGACGGAGCAACGCCGCGUGAGCGAUGAAGGCCUUCGGGUCGUAAAGCUCUGUUGUUAGGGAAGAACAAGUGCUAGUUGAAUAAGCUGGCACCUUGACGGUACCUAACCAGAAAGCCACGGCUAACUACGUGCCAGCCGCCGCCGUAA